AAAAUCCGUCGACCUCUAUCCCCA
Molecule: transfer RNA, 24 nt
Filed under: Potentilla turfosa
Lineage: Eukaryota; Viridiplantae; Streptophyta; Magnoliopsida; Rosales; Rosaceae
Description: partial tRNA-Leu
Source: RNAcentral